Molecule: ribosomal RNA, 403 nt
Filed under: uncultured bacterium
Lineage: Bacteria
Description: partial 16S ribosomal RNA
Rfam family: Bacterial small subunit ribosomal RNA
Source: RNAcentral
GACGAACGCUGGCGGCGUGCCUCAUACAUGCAAGUCGAACGCAGUGGGGACGGGUGAGUAACACGUGGGUAACCUCCCAUCAGAGGGGAUACCACUUGGAAACAGGUGCUAAACCGCUACUGCUGGAUGGACCCGCGGUGCAUUAGCUAGUUGGUGAGGUAACGGCUCACCAAGGCCACGAUGCAUAGCCGACCGUAGAGGUGUAUCGGCAACACUGGGACUGAGACACGGCCCAGACGCCGACGGGAGGCAGCAGUAGGGAAUCUGCGGCAAUUGACGAAAGUCUGACCGAGCAACGCCGCGGGAGUGAAGAAGGUUUUCGGAUCGUAAAACUCUGUUGUUAGAGAAGCGGUAUCUAACCAGAAAGCCACGGCUAACUACGUGCCAGCAGCCGCGGUAAUUC